GAUGAAGAACGUAGCGAAAUGCGAUACUUGGUGUGAAUUGCAGAAUCCCGUGAACCAUCGAGUCUUUGAACGCAAGUUACGCCCGAAGCCAUUAGGCCGAGGGCACGCCUGCCUGGGCGUCACACGUCGUUGCCCCCCCAUCUACUCCUUCGGGAUUGCGGGGGGCGGAUGAUGGCCUCCCGUGCGCCUCGUCGCGCGGUUGGCAUAAAUGCCAAGUCCUCGGCGACGCACGCCACGACAAUCGGUGGUUGCGAAACCUCGGUUGCCCGUCGUGUGCGGUCGUCGCGCAUCGAGGGCUCGAAAAAAUUGCCGGGCUCCGGCUCGGCUUUCAACGCGACCCCAGGUCAGGCGGGGUUACCCGCUGAAUUUAAGCAUAUCAAUAAGCGGAGGA
Molecule: unclassified non-coding RNA, 391 nt
Filed under: soil metagenome
Description: partial contains 5.8S ribosomal RNA, internal transcribed spacer 2, and large subunit ribosomal RNA
Rfam family: 5.8S ribosomal RNA (bases 1-122)
Source: RNAcentral